Molecule: ribosomal RNA, 574 nt
Filed under: Excellichlamys spectabilis
Lineage: Eukaryota; Metazoa; Mollusca; Bivalvia; Pectinida; Pectinidae
Description: partial 16S ribosomal RNA
Rfam family: Bacterial large subunit ribosomal RNA
Source: RNAcentral
GGCUUCCCGAGUAACAUGGGAAGUCGUGCCUUCCCGGUGAGUCUUCGGGCUUAAACGGAUGCGGUAAAUUGCAAGAAAGUAGCUAAAUUACGGCCUAUUAAUUGUAGGUCAUGUGAAUGGUUUGACGAGUCCUCAACUGUCUCUGGUUUUUUUUGGUGAACUUGAAUUGGAUGUGUAAAUGCUUCCAUGGGUAAGAAAGACGAGAAGACCCCGUGAAGUUAGAAAUUAAAGCUGUAAAGGUUAGUCCUCCAAGCCGAUUAGGCCAAAAAUUGAAAAAUAGCUUUUCGUGGGUUUAGUCUACGAAUUAGUUAAAGUGGGGGGGUACGGUGGUGGUUUUGGCUGGGGCAGCAAAAGAGCAAAACUAGACUCUAUUUAGUUAAAAAACGGAUACGUGACGAUCCACACACAUUUUUAAAUUUUUGUGAUAAGCAGAAGAAGUUACUCCGGGGAUAACAGCGUAAUCUACCCUGAUAGUUCUUAUAGAUGGGCGGGUUUGCGACCUCGAUGUUGGCUCUGGAUAUCCUAAGGCUUGCAGGCGGUCUUUAGGGUUGGUUCGUUCGCCCAUGAAAAUCCG